RNAcentral lists this long non-coding RNA (4882 nucleotides) under Panax ginseng (ginseng). RNAcentral describes it as "long non-coding RNA (PGIN_LNC014947)". The record is from RNAcentral. Lineage: Eukaryota; Viridiplantae; Streptophyta; Magnoliopsida; Apiales; Araliaceae.
ACUGAUUCAACAAAAUACCCAACUAGCUAGGCAAUAAACAUAAAUAAUCUAAGUACCACAAAACCAAAUUAUAUAAUCCAAAAGGUUGAAAUUCUGAAAUCCAUAUCCUAAGAAAAUGCUUAAUUAAAACCUUAAACCUUGUAGUUAUUGACCUUCCAGAAAAAAAUCUAUCUGCAAAUCAAAAAAACCAAAUUAGCUUAUAAUACACGACGUAGUAUUUUGCAGAAAUUAUGGAAGUUCAAACCAAAUCCAAUUCUUGUUACCUAAAACAUCCCGAAUGUUUUGAAGAAUUUGUGCUUUUCUUAUUUUGCUACUAUGGAUUGUUCCAAAAUGUAGUAAUCUACAAGUCAAAAUCUUUGAGAAUGUGCCAAACAGUUACCAUAACUAGUUGUGAAGGAGCAGAGCUAUAAGUCAAUUCUUCUGCACAUCACAAUAAUUAUGAUACUCAAAUUUAUACAAAAAAAAUCUCUUCACAAAAGGCAGAGGCAUAAACGGUAAACCAUUCAAACAAAAGUAUACAAGGACAAAACAAACACUUAAGUCACCCUCAUAAAUUCAUGUAAGAUUGUUGGACUCCACUCACCUUGCUGAACUGGUGAGGUAAAGACAUGUCCUUCCAUAAUUUGUCUUGUCAACACGUUCCAAUAAUAAAUCAAGGUCUUCAACCUAUAAUGAUUCAAAAGGCCACUUACAUAUGUAUCUUGAAGUGCAAAAAGAAAGGAUACACAAGGAAUACAACAAGUAAAUACAUCCAUCAGAAGAUCGACAGCCUUAGGUUUAGCAUUAUGCUGCAAUGCAGAAUCAUAGAUUUCUUACUAAAAAUCUUACUAAAAUAUGCAAUCCACAAAUCUCAUAACAAAUAAACAUAGCUUCUAUCCACUAUCUUAGCUGAACAGAACUUUAAUAGCUCACCUGAAAUCUCUUUGAGAAGAUAUAACCACUCAAAAAACCAAUAAGAUGAAUCAUACCUUCUUGUGAAAGGCAACAAUUUGUUUUUUAAGAUCCAUCAAAUCAUCAAUUGUUGCAUCUUCACUCAAAAAUAGUUUGUGUAAACAAAAGACAUAUUAGAAAGGAUUUAUAAGCAAUUAAUACCUGACCAUAUAUAUCCCAAAUUGCUGAAGUAUAACGUACUAAUCUAAACGUAUGAAGUAAGUUACUACUACCAUUUGUAUCAACUACAAACUAGUCUUUUCACGUCAAGUUUCAUCACUUUACGUAUCUUAUGUAGACAGAACUGCUAAGGCUUAAUUAACUAUGACUAAAUUAACAAUAACCUCAAACACAAAGUGCUAAGGCUUAAUUAACUAUGUCCAAUUGAAUGAGAAUCUGGUCCAGUUGUUAAAGAAAGAGGGAACAAAUACACCAAUAUAAAAUUUCAGUUCAACCAUAAGUUGAACAAAUGAAAGAGGGAACAAAUACAACAAUAACAAACAAAGGUUCUUGAUUGUAAGUCGCAGCUCGCCAACAGUGCCAUCCAUAGUAUCUUGGCUUAUGACACUGUUAGGGGAAGCCAAAGGCAUGCUAGAGCUGAAAUUUGGUUCACUUUCUUGGUAUUAAUUCUCUGACUGGAUUAGAUAUCCCAGUUCUCUCCAGCUUGCAAUCAAACGUUUGAGCACAUAAUUUGUCUUAGGCAGUUGAGUGCCAUUUAGCUUCUGUCGUGUAAUGGGGCAAGUGGAUUUUCCCCUAUCAAUCUAUUCUUGGAUUGUUUUCGUUCAUAAGUUUGUCCUGUCUUAAGAGUCACUGGAUCAUCAAAUAUGUUACUUGUUAUGGGACAAACAAAAUCCUUAGGAGCUGCACUGCUGACAAUGAACUGAUAACUUACUGGAUGUUGAAAGGAUACCUCAGCUGCAUCAAUUCUAUUGAGAAGGCUUACGAGACAGGACAUCAUGUGUUGAUGGAUCUAAUAGAUUGCCAGAUACUGAAAGAACUAGAGGCUGGUUAUGUGAUUAUGAAUAGACCUGAAUUAGAUUUAUAUGUUUUCCUCCAGCCUGGAUUUGGUGCAAUAGCCAGACUAGGAUUGGCUACUAUAUUUGAAUCCAAUUCGAAAGGCUUUGGGAGAAUCACACAUAGAGAUGGUAUCAUGCAAGCACUUUCUAAGAACAGUGAAGGAUAAAUUUUUUCUACUUUAUUGCUCGAUGGUGACCAUAGUGAGGAUGUCCUGAUUAGUUCCUUUUUGUCCAAGGAGUAACUUCAAGGUCUUGCCCUUUUCAACUCAACAAUCAAAUCGCUGACAUUGCUCUUAUUUGGCAUGAAAAGCCUUCAUGUGCUUGUUCUCAGAGGCUGUGAUGUUAUGGAGGAUAUCCAUCCUCUUACUCUUCCAAGUUUAGCUGUUCUUGAGAUUUCUGGUCCUAGUUUAGUGGAAAUUCUUCUAGUUGAUUUCUUUGAGGGCAUGCAUUCUCUUCGAACUCUCAAUCUCUCUGAACUAUGUAUCAAAUCAUUACCUAAAUCACUUUACCAUUGUAAGGAACUGCGUUGGCUAAUCCUUAGAAUGUUCUCCAACUUAGAGGUCCUAGGUAGUGUUACAGAACUAACACAUCUUAUGGUUCUUGAUCUUUUUAAUGCUACCUCUUUGAAGGUUAUCAAAGAUAAGCACUUUCUUAAAAAAGAGAAUCUCCAUACCAUUAAUCUUUAAAAAAACCAGGAUUAAAACCCUACCGUUGCUCAAAGAUCUGGUAAAUCUCACUCAUCUCUUUCUAAGAUAUUGUACAAUUUUAGAUAGACUGCGCGGCAUGGCUACACUAAAAAAUCUCCAAGUUCUUGGUCUUUCAAAUUCGUCAAAGUUUCAGAAAUUUCAUGAUCAAUCAUUGGGAGUUUUGAAAAACCCUAAAAUCCUCUAUCUAUCUGGAUGUUCACUUAAUCAUCUACCUUCCAACAUUAGCAAUCCUCAUUACCUCUAUCUAAGAGGUUGUUCUCGCUUAAAGAUCCUGUUAAGUAUGAAAGCUCUCAAAGACCUUGAGGUACUUGAUGUUUCAGGCUCCAGCAAAUUGACUAAAAUUGGAGAUGAGUUCUUUAAACAUCUGACAUGUCUUCGAGUACUCAAUCUUUCAGAAUCAAUUGUUAAAAGCUUGCCAUCUCUUUCUAGUCUUCAGAAUCUUCGUGAGCUUUUACUAUCACGUUCCGCAUCAUUGGAGAAGUUGGAGGGAUUAAAUUCCCUUAAAAAUCUUGAGGUAAUUGUUCUUUCGUACUACAGUGCAUUGAUAGACAUAGAAGAUAAUUCUUUUCAUCAUAUGUCUCGCUUACUGAGGCUUGACCUCUCCAAUACAAAGAUUGAAAGCCUGCCACCCCUUUCAAAUUCUAUAAACCUUCAUUGCUUCGUACUGAAGAAUUGUACCCAAUUGAAGUUUCUUUCAUUGCCUACAAUUCUAACUGGUGUCGAUCUUUCAGGAGACGUAUGAGCUGAUUUCGUGGAGUGUAUGAGUAAACUUAGGAUUCUUAACCUCUCUGAAACCAAGCUUAAACAUCUGCCAUCUAUGUUAAAACUUAUAAAUCUUAGUCAUCUUUAUCUAGGGGGUUGCCAGCAUUUGAAAGAAAUGCCAGAAUUGGAUAAACUUACAGAACUAGAGGUUCUGGAUCUUUCUAGAACAGUUGUCAGCCGGCUAGAAUCCAUUCACUACUUGAGAAGCCUUCGUCAUCUCCUACUUAGAGAUUGCUCAAACAUUCAAGACAUCACACAGCUGAAGAUGAUUGAUCUUUUGGGGCCGAGUGUUGCAGAACUUCCCUGCGAGAUCUCAGAUUUAACUCAUUUUGAGCUCCUUGAUCUGCCAAGAAGUAAAGAAAAUCAAGGAUCUGACACCACAAAGAACCCACUAGAAUAUCAAAAUCAGCAGCAGUGCAUGGUUCUAAUAAUUAAAUGAAUAUAACAAGCAAGAAAAAUAUGUACGGACAUUAGAUUCAUUAAUAGACAAUUUGAGAAGUGCAGUGACUACAUUUUCCUGUAUUUUUGCGUCUAGUGAAUGGAGUAGAUUAACCAACAAGGGAAUGGCCCCACAGUUCGCAAUUACAAUUCGAUUAUCCAUGUUAUGUCUUGCAAGUACCCAAAGUUCAGCUAUAGCAUUUCUUUGUUCUUCAAGUGAAGUGCUCUUCAAGUCCUCAACUAGAUUUUGAAUUUGGGUUUCAACCUCAGAAGGAAUAGCCCUUGUUUCAGUAGCAGGAAAAGACACAAUUCUAGGAACAAACCUAUCAGAAGGUCGACGCCAGAUUGCCUGGGUUCGAGAUCUUGUCCCAAAUUAAGGCGAGAACUCAGACUCUCUCUGUGAGGAAGACAAGUUAGCAGCAGAACGUGGCUCUGAUGUAAGCUCCCCUGAAGCAUCACUACUGUAGGCUAUCACCUGUGAGGAGACCCCAUUGACAUCAGCAGGAACUCGUUACCAUAUAAUCGGAUAAAAAUAAAACUUGUUACAUAUUUAUACAAUCAUAUUGGAAUGUAAAAAUAAGGAUUUAAAAAUUUUGCAACACAUGGACAAAACAUCAAACAUGUGGUGCACAUAUAUCUAAAAUCAAAAUUGAUUGAACAUCAAAAUCACCACAUAUAACCAAAAUCAGAUUUGAUUAAGCACAAAUGAAUGAACAAAGUGCAGAUAUUACAAAUAAAUAAAUUCAAAUUAGCUUUCUUACCGAAUUGAAAGAGAAGAAAAAUUACCUUAGAAAAUGAAAAUCAAUUUCAGAUGAUACAUGUAGGAGAUAUAGGAGAGAAAAGAAAGGAAAGAAGAUGGAUAUGUAAUUGUGAUGGAGGACAUGAGGGCAAGCGAAGCUAUGCAAUGGGAUCAAUUGACAUGUGAAUUUUGGCCAAGAAAGAGAGGAAAAACCCAAAUUGGUAUGGAUCCUAAAUUUGGUCUCGCCAUACAACUAGAUGCUAAAUUAGGGACUCCAAAAACAGAGUUUG